RNAcentral lists this ribosomal RNA (468 nucleotides) under uncultured bacterium. RNAcentral's name for it is "partial 16S ribosomal RNA". It matches the Rfam family "Bacterial small subunit ribosomal RNA", at positions 28 to 507 of the family's 1533-position model. The record is from RNAcentral.
GACGAACGCUGGCGGCGUGCUUAACACAUGCAAGUCGAACGGAAAGACCCUGCUUUUGUGGGGUGCUCGAGUGGCGAACGGGUGAGUAACACGUGAGUAACCUGCCCUUGACUUUGGGAUAACUUCAGGAAACUGGGGCUAAUACCGGAUAGGAGCUCCUGCUGCAUGGGGGGGGUUGGAAAGUUUCGGCGGUUGGGGAUGGACUCGCGGCUUAUCAGCUUGUUGGUGGGGUAGUGGCUUACCAAGGCAUUGACGGGUAGCCGGCCUGAGAGGGUGACCGGCCACAUUGGGACUGAGAUACGGGCCAGAGUGCUACGGGAGGCAGCAGUGGGGAAUAGUGCACAAUGGGCGGAAGCCUGAUGCAGCAACGCCGCGUGCGGGAUGACGGCCUUCGGGUUGGAAACCGCGUGCGCCUGUGACGAAGCGUGAGUGACGGUAAUGGGUAAAGAAGCACCGGCUAACUACGUG